GCCGGGUGUGGUGGCGGGCACCUGUAAUCCCAGCUACUCAGGAGGCUGAGGCAGGAGAAUCACUUGAACCUGGGAGGCAGAGGCUGCAGUGAGCCGGGAUCACGCCACUGCAUUCCAGCCUGGGUGACAGAGUGAGACUCUGUCUCAA
This is an unclassified non-coding RNA of Pongo abelii (Sumatran orangutan), 148 nucleotides long. It matches the Rfam family "Metazoan signal recognition particle RNA". From Rfam's summary of the family: The signal recognition particle (SRP) is a universally conserved ribonucleoprotein. It is involved in the co-translational targeting of proteins to membranes. Lineage: Eukaryota; Metazoa; Chordata; Mammalia; Primates; Hominidae. The record is from Ensembl.